Molecule: long non-coding RNA, 773 nt
Organism: Arabidopsis lyrata subsp. lyrata
Lineage: Eukaryota; Viridiplantae; Streptophyta; Magnoliopsida; Brassicales; Brassicaceae
Exons: 3
Source: RefSeq, a predicted model, not a curated record
CAAAAUCGAAUCUCCUUUCUCAUACUCUGUUUUGAUUUCAAGACAACUGUUGAUUCUUUUCCAUUAUCUGAUUAAUUGGUCUGCUGUGAUUACAGAUUUUGGGUUAAUCUCCGAUUUGUUUUAUGCCGGAAACAAAAGUUGUGGAAGCUUUUGGAACAGACGGUGACGUACGGUGGAAGAAAAAGUUGGAUGUCGUACAUGCAAAACCAUUUCCACGUUUCCAAACGCUUCCGCGUAUCCGUUUCUGAUUCCAUGCAAAAGGGAUGUCGUACAUGCAAAACCGUUCGUUAUGAUUUUGAAUGUUUCGAGAAAAACUGCGUCGUGGAAUCUUUGUUCGUGAGAUUUAGUCACCAUAAUCAUUGUUCGUGGGAUUUAGUUUACCAUAAUCGCCGCAAGCAUAAUCGUCACUCGUGGUCUCGUGUGUAACAGGGGAAAUAUGUCCAUUGUAGGAAUGUUGUACAUGCAGGUCCAUUAUGAUUUUGAAUGUUACAGGGAAUCAUUGUUCGUUGGAGUUGUUCACCAUAAUCGCAUAUACGGCAAGUAAUUGUUUACCAUAAUCGGUCGUCGUGGUCUCUCGUGUGUUAUAGAGAAUAUAUGUCCAUUGUAGGGAUGACGUACAUGCAGAAUCGUCUAUUAUGAUUUUGAAUGUUUAAGAGACAACUACGUCGUAGAAUCAUUGUUCGUGGGAGUUGUUCACUUUAAUCUCAUAUACGGCAUGUAAUUGUUUACCAUAAUCGCUGCAAACAUAAUCAUCAUUCGUGGUCUCGUGUGUA